GUAGGGGGCAAGCGUUGUCCGGAAUUAUUGGGCGUAAAGAGCACGUAGGCGGUUUGCCAAGUCAGAUGUGAAAUCCCGCAGCUUAACUGCGGAACUGCAUUUGAUACUGGCAGGCUAGAGUACAGGAGAGGGAAGCGGAAUUCCUAGUGUAGCGGUGAAAUGCGCAGAUAUUAGGAAGAACACCGGUGGCGAAGGCGGCUUCCUGGACUGUUACUGACGCUGAGGUGCGAAAGCUAGGGGGGAGCAAACAGGAUUAGAUACCCUGGUAGUCCUAGCCGUAAACGAUGGGCACUAGGUGUAGGGGGUAUCAACUCCCCCUGUGCCGCAGCUAACGCAUUAAGUGCCCCCGCCCUGGGAGUACGGUCGCAAGACUA
Molecule: ribosomal RNA, 374 nt
Filed under: uncultured organism
Description: partial 16S ribosomal RNA
Rfam family: Bacterial small subunit ribosomal RNA
Source: RNAcentral